Long non-coding RNA from Aedes albopictus (Asian tiger mosquito), 1329 nucleotides. RefSeq lists it as uncharacterized. NCBI's taxonomy places the organism in Eukaryota, Metazoa, Arthropoda, Insecta, Diptera, Culicidae. The record is from RefSeq and is a predicted model, not a curated record. The transcript has 3 exons.
CCAUUAGGAAUUCGUUAAACCAUAAGAACAUUUGUAAAUGCUCCGACUUAUGAGUAAAAAUUGGUUCCGCCAAGAACAAAUUAAGCACCUCUGUAAUGCCUACCAUCAUCGACUCGCAAUCCUGAAACUCGCGCUCAUGUUAACCACCGCACACCACACACACAAAGCACUCCAUUCCGAUCACGCAGGCCUCGAUCGGAUACGUUGAGUAUCGAGCUCGGCAACGAGAGAGGCAAACAUUGCAUUACGGCUCGACGGCAGCAUACACACAAGCGACGUUCAUCGAGAGAGCACUGUUCAUUCCCAGAGAAAGGGAGGCUUUUUUUUUCUCAAGCACAACUACCAUCACCGGCAAUCAGGCGGAGGGAGCUGAUCACGCGAUCGUUCAUAGUGCCAGCAGUUUGCAAGCAUCCAUCGGUCGAAACGGUAGUGGCUCACGUUACGGGCGUAGAAGUGGCUCCAGCUUCAAAAAAAGAGGUGGAAAAUUGAUUUGCUGUUGGAGGCAAUUUCAGUUACACGAAAAAGGUGAACUCGGCCUUUGCAUCGGUGAGACCGACGCUUAGUGCAGCCAACAAAAGGAGGCGGCCAUUUUGCACCACCACGAGAUUGCCAAGCCACAUGUUCUGGAGAAAACUGCACCUCAUUCGACGUAUUUCGUGCACAUCCGAACGCGAUUAGCGCUGUUUUCCCCCGGUUUGACCGUCGGUGAACUCGGUGGUGGCACUCGCCGUCCGUGCAAUUGGCAAAUCAAACCGCACGAGUGACAAUUUUGCAUCGUGGCCCACGAUCAGCCGAAGUCAAGCGCUGACGGAAGAGGCAAGAAACCGCGACGAUCCGUAUACACCGAGAGGACAGGAGCAAAGAGCCUUCGUCAAAGAAGGCUCUUUUUUCUCGUUCCAGUUUCGUCAACAUCAAUCAGGCAGACCGAGCGGGGGUGACCACCGACGUCGGCGCACCGUCGAUCUUGAGACGUUCUCGGUGGCUUUCGGCGGGACGCGGUAGCCAGCUUUCCGGCGCGGGAGCGAAGGGCUCGAAGGCAGCAACGAUCGCAUCGGUAAUCGGAGGAGCGGAUUGGUGAGCGAGUUGGCGCCAAUCAUGAAUCGGACCGUAGGGUCGGCCGGGAACACGCAUCCGGCAGGCGAGGAGGCCCGAAUGAGCGGUCGAGGUUUGUGAUCGGUGGCGAUGCGUGAGUACAAAUAUGAGACAAAUGUUAGUUUCUAAGUAAGAAUAAACAGUUAGGACGUAGAGAGAGGAUUAGGCGUUUAGGUGGCACAAUGCUAGGAGCCAAAUAAAGAUGUUGUCUAAAUGAAUAAGAUUUGAGUUGGUGCU